RNAcentral lists this small RNA (101 nucleotides) under Mytilus galloprovincialis (Mediterranean mussel). The record is from RNAcentral. Lineage: Eukaryota; Metazoa; Mollusca; Bivalvia; Mytilida; Mytilidae.
GAGACAAAAUUGACUUUUGUGAGACAAAAUUGACUUUUGUGAGACAAAAUUUACAAAAUAGAAUUUUGUCUCACAAAAUUGAGUUUUGUCUCACAAAAUUG